GUGCCAGCAGCCGCGGUAAUACGUAGGGUGCAAGCGUUAAUCGGAAUUACUGGGCGUAAAGCGUGCGCAGGCGGUGAUGUAAGACAGAUGUGAAAUCCCCGGGCUCAACCUGGGAACUGCAUUUGUGACUGCAUCGCUGGAGUGCGGCAGAGGGGGAUGGAAUUCCGCGUGUAACAGUGAAAUGCGUAGAUAUGCGGAGGAACACCGAUGGCGAAGGCAAUCCCCUGGGCCUGCACUGACGCUCAUGCACGAAAGCGUGGGGGCAAACAGGAUUA
This 275-nucleotide ribosomal RNA is filed under the name uncultured Burkholderiales bacterium. Its description in RNAcentral is "partial 16S ribosomal RNA". It matches the Rfam family "Bacterial small subunit ribosomal RNA", at positions 505 to 780 of the family's 1533-position model. Lineage: Bacteria; Pseudomonadati; Pseudomonadota; Betaproteobacteria; Burkholderiales. The record is from RNAcentral.